This 432-nucleotide ribosomal RNA is filed under the name uncultured bacterium. Its description in RNAcentral is "partial 16S ribosomal RNA". It matches the Rfam family "Bacterial small subunit ribosomal RNA", at positions 29 to 507 of the family's 1533-position model. The record is from RNAcentral.
AACGAACGCUGGCGGCAUGCCUAACACAUGCAAGUCGAACGAGACCUUCGGGUCUAGUGGCGCACGGGUGCGUAACGCGUGGGAACCUGCCCUUAGGUUCGGAAUAACUCCCCGAAAGGGGUGCUAAUACCGGAUAAUGUCUUCGGACCAAAGAUUUAUCGCCUUUGGAUGGGCCCGCGUUGGAUUAGCUAGUUGGUAGGGUAAAAGCCUACCAAGGCGACGAUCCAUAGCUGGUCUGAGAGGAUGACCAGCCACACUGGGGCUGAGACACGGCCCAGACUCCGGCGGAGGGGGGCAGUGGGGAAAAAGGGAAAAGGGGGGAAGGCCGAAGCCAGCAGUGCCGGGUGAGGGUUGAGGGCGUUAGGGUUUAAAAGCUCUUUAUCCCGGGGGGAAAUGAAAGGACCGGGGGAAAAAGCCCCGGCUAAAUCCGUG